CCUCGCCUGAUUCAGUGCAUGGCAUGGACCUGCUCUGGGGAUAAAUCAGGGCUGUACAAUAAAGGAGACUGUUGUCUGUAGGACCCCUGCCUCAUUUGUUGAAGAAGCUGGAAGGUGUGUACUGAAUGAAUCAUGGGAAUGCCGAGGAGAAAGGACAGUCUCAUCUUAAGGAAUGCCAAGAAAAUAGCUAUCUGUAAAGAAGGUUUAUAAUGCUUGGUUGAUGGGAUGAUUAUUAUCGGAAGAGCACUUCUUGAGGUGUAAUAAAAACACAGUGACAUAAAAAUAGAAUGCUUUGGAUUCAUAAGUCAUCUGGUAUGGUUAUCUUGAGAUAGCUACAACAAUGGAGAUGAACUUCCAGGGUAAAAAAAAAGAAAGUGUCUUUGAAGCUUUUCUGCCAAAGAGGAACUAGAGGAUACAGUUCCACAGUAAUGACAUCAAGGGAGUUCCAUGCUGAGAUGGUGAGACCAUUGUACAAACACAGCAUGCCUAUCAUCAUGGAUUCACUGGUACCAAACCACAAGAAAAAACAGCUAAUUCCAGAGAGUACCAUAGAACCACCUAUAUUAAAGGCAGACCAAAAAAAAUCAUUGUUUUUACAGAAUAAUAAUAUUUAUAAUCUUGUUUGUUUUGCAUAACAAUGGACUUUCCACAUUGGACAGUUUAAAUCACUAAACUGCAUAUUUGAAUUUAAAACUAAAUUCUAAAAUAGAACCCAUUUCUCUGGCAACUGUCAGUUGGGACCACACCUCUUGCAAUUACAAGGAAUGCAUUUACAUACCAUAGUAAACUAAACUAACAAGAAUAAUUUAGUAGGACUCAGUCUUUAUGUAGGAUGUUGCUCAUAGAAAAUCAACAUAAUAAAUUACUUAGUUAUUUAAGUAAAAUGAGCAUAAAUUUGUCAUUAUGAAGAGUUGACAUCUGAUUUUCAACCUCCACUAAUGUCCCAAAAUAGAAACUUGUCUACGGGCUCCUCUAAAUUAUACCAGCUAGAUGGUUCCCUACACUCAGUAAAUGGUCUGGUCCACCAUCUGAGGAUUACCUGUGCACAGCUCCCUCUCCCUUUAAUGGAGCAAGCCAAUAAUGAACACUUUUUAAAAUCCCACAAUCACAAGUGCUUAAAAUAGUAUACUUCUUUUAUUUUAUGGUAAUACUGAGUGAUGAACAAAUAUAUGGCAGUUGAGAAUUGGCUGAGCUCCUUAACUGUUAAUUUCCAAACUUUCUAACAUUUGGGUGUUUUUGAAUAGGAGUUUAGGAUUAUACACUAAUGAAAAAAUCGCUGGAAGGGAUUUUUUCUUGCCUUUAUGAACAGCAAACCCUAAAAGAGAAAACUUUAUUUUAUCUAGACUGCUUUAGGUUUUUUGGGGGGAUUUUGGCAAAGCCCAUACCUAACAUCGUUAAACGUCCAAUUCUGUCCAUCAGAAGAGCAGAUACAAUAUUCCCUGGUAACACAGCCAAAGUUCCCAGGAAAUUAACAAAGUAAAUCCAAUAAGCACUGUAGUCAUCAUCAAAGAUGUCAUCCUGUAAGGUGCUCAGUGUUUCUGAAGCUCAGCAUUUUGCCAGAAGAGACCCUAAGUGAGUACCAAGAAAGGAAAAAAAAAGUAAAAAAGGAACAAAAGAAAAACCACCCUGUCUCCCACCAUUAGAGAUACAUCUCCUGCAUUCUCACAUGCCACACACAUUGGGUCUGAAAAUCUGAGUCCCCUGGUGAAAACCUGUCAUUGAUGUAUGAUCCAUUGAUGUGAAUCUGAUUUUCCAAUGUGAAGUUGAAGUUGAAAUCUACAAGUCUCUCUCCGUUAAAACGUUUCACUUUGGAUGCAUAUUCGUCCGAUUGCAGAUGUUUAAUGACAUCAGGGAACCAGACGGACAAUCCAUAGUAGCUGUGAAAAGCAGAAGGGUUCAGUCACAAAGCUCACCUUAAUGUCAGAAGUAUGUACAGACUAGAGAGACAACCUACAGCAUCCAACUACUUAAAGCAGAUAACUAGAUCUGCAGAAACACUUCUACUUCUACCUGAAUUUUAGAUUUUUAAGCAUCAAGCAUAAGAAUGCUUUUAGGAUGAAAUGCAUUUUGCUUGCAUAAAGUCAGAAUACUGGGGUCUCUCACACUCUUCAUCUGUGUGAGAUGGGAGGAAUAAAUCCAUCCUCCAAUCAGGAUCAGAGCUCAGGGGUGCACCAUAGACCUCCUACAGCUGCUCGUUUAACCUGUUGUGCUUUCAAGGUUGUUAGAACCACUGGAACUGUGUGGUCACCUAUCCAUUAUUUGAUUCACACUGUAAUCGUUCCCUAUGCCAGACUAUGCAGGGCCAGCAGAAACACCAUCAGUGGGAUGCAGGGAGAGUGGAGACCCUCGGUUCAGAUGUUCUGCCAGCUGCUCAUGCUGUGCAGUCCCAACACAGAGUUUAAGUGGCUGGAGAAUCUUGCCCAAGCUCUCUUCACUACAGUGAAUGUCACUGUGAAGUUUAAACUCUUUAGUUAGGGAUUGGGCCCCAGCAAAUUUACACGGCAUAAUGAUUACAAUGGUCUGAGAAUUAUCCUUAGCCCUGAGAGGGACAUGAUUGCUAUAGAAAUUCCCAAACCAAAGUAAGCUGGUGUAUCACUUACUCUACUGUUAAGGUCUCAAAAAAUGUUAUCUGGAAUCAGGGGACAACUGGCUGGAAGCUGGAGUGGGUCAGAGUGGAGUGCGGGUUGGGGCACUCUGUAUAGUGGGAAGUUGCAAAGGAGAUAAGGAGAUGUUGUUGUGGAAGGGAUCCUGAAAUAGAGGCGGCAGAGAGCACUUUAUGAAGGUGGAGGAAAGCUAAGGAACUAAAAAUGAGUUUUACUCUCCUUCAGUUCCUCAGUGUACUUCAAUGAGGAUAAAUUUAGCACAACAAUAAUUAAUUAUGAUUAAAAAAUACAAGAAAAGUUCAUUUUCUGACAGUUCAAUUUAAAUCUAUAUAGAACGACAGUCAUUAGGUUAAUAAGGAAGCAAAUAAGUGAAUUACUGUAGCAUCUGUUCACCAAUAAAACAUGUGCAUGGAACAAUAAGCCAUAAUAAUAAUAAUAUUAUUAUUGAGGAUUUAUAUAAUGCUUUACAUCUUCCAAGUGCUUACAAACUCUGACCCUUAAUCCAUUUUUUUCUCAUGGGAAAUCUCUUUUUAUUCAAGAAGAUAGUGUGCUGGGCCUAUAUAUUCAGAAGUGACAAGUGAUCUGGAGUUCCUCAGUUUUUGGUCACACAACUCAACACCUUGAAGAGUCCUGAAAGUCAGAACCCUUUAAGGUGCCAGCUGGGAAACCAAAAAUGGAGUAACCCCAAAAUAUGAUGUUUUAUUUAAAAGGUAAUGUAGUAAGUAUUGUCAAUAAGAAAAGAAAAUCACAAUGGCAAAACAGAUUUGCAUUCUGCAUGACUGGCAGCAUUAAACUUCAUCUGUAUUUCAAGAUUUACAGGCUAACCACGGAAAAUUCAUAAAGAAUCCAAGUCAAUCAUACCCAAAAGACAGCGUGAACCAUACAGCUGUAAGUUUGAUUGUAUUGUCCUUGACUGGAUAGUUGAAACAUCUCAUAAAUGUUAACCAAAUCUGUAAAAUAUGGGAAAAUACAUUUAAAA
Long non-coding RNA from Mauremys mutica (yellowpond turtle), 3582 nucleotides. RefSeq lists it as uncharacterized. The record is from RefSeq and is a predicted model, not a curated record. Lineage: Eukaryota; Metazoa; Chordata; Testudines; Geoemydidae. The transcript is spliced from 5 exons.